RNAcentral lists this transfer-messenger RNA (364 nucleotides) under Candidatus Sungbacteria bacterium RIFCSPHIGHO2_01_FULL_54_26. It matches the Rfam family "transfer-messenger RNA". From Rfam's summary of the family: Bacterial tmRNA, also known as 10Sa RNA or SsrA, is named for its dual tRNA and mRNA-like properties. Its role is to liberate the mRNA from a stalled ribosome. Lineage: Bacteria; Candidatus Sungiibacteriota. The record is from RNAcentral. RNAcentral also lists the same sequence under 4 other names.
GGGGGUGACGGGUUUCGACGGGUUCUUGAACAAAAGAAGUCAGGCCGGAGGCGCAGGGUACUUCGUUAUAACUUCCUUGCAACCAAUACGUGCAAACGUAGUGAAAGCAUCUGACGCCCUUGCUGCUGUUUUCAGCGGCAGGACGCUUGCUCCAGCAUACGCGUAAAUUACGUGCAUGCCAUCGACCUCUCAAUGCUCGUGCGAGAGACCCUCGGUGUCAUACAUCGAGCUUGGCCACCCUGAUGCCCGAUAGCGGCGGCGACACCAUCGGGCACAACCCCUUUACCGCAAGGUAGAGUAUGUCUGUAUCAGCUUCUUUUGGGACAGGAUUCGGACGGGAGUUCAAUUCUCCCCACCUCCACCC